AUCUAGUUGACGAGUCCUAAAUAGGACGAAACGCGCGUCCUGGAU
Non-coding RNA from Schistosoma mansoni, 45 nucleotides. The record is from Rfam. Lineage: Eukaryota; Metazoa; Platyhelminthes; Trematoda; Strigeidida; Schistosomatidae.